CUUCCGCUCGCCGUCGCCCCGGGAGCCCGAACGCUGUGCACGCGCAGGAGCGGGCUUUGGGGGCGGGGGGCAACACAGCCAAUGGGCAACAACACGGCGCCUUUCGGGGACAAAGGAUUCUGACGUGGCUCCCUCUGAGACUGAAGUUGAUCGCUGCCGAUGUCUCCAGUGUCACUCUGCAAACUGAAGCAUCAGCUGCUGAGGCAAGCAACAGUGGUUUGUGUCAUGGAGUUGUCUUCUUCUCCUGGCCCUGGACCCUAUGGAUAUCAAAAAAUGCAAUGAAAUAAAAAAGAAGACAAAGCAAAGCCUAAAAUUGGAAAGAAACGAAUAAACCUGACUCUAUAUCAAAGGACCAGCGACAUAAUUUGUGUGGCCCAGUGCAAAACGAAAAUGUGGGGCUAUUUGUUCAAAAGCCAGGAAUAAAGUGCCAUUAAAGAGCGCAGGGGGUUGCAGGCCGGAUAACAGAAACCCAGCCCUGCCCACUGGGUGAAGCUGCAGCUCUCCCACGCAGAGAUCUGCAAAUCGAGAGCGUGAGAAACCUGCAAGUGGAGAGAGGAGCCAGAAGUAAUGCCUUCGAAAAUGGGACGGAUGCCUCCUCCUGAAAGGGACCUCGAGUUACAGCUCUAGCAGGUCUCCUUGGCUCCUGUGUUCCGGAUGCCAGCAGUCUGCCUCUGCAUCUUGGGCUUUAGAUUCUUUUCUGUUAUAGGUUAUCGCAAGAUAUCGAGUAGAGUUCCCUGUGCUAUAUGGAACAACCCCAGCAAUAUUUAAAACAGAAGAAUAAAGAACUGAGGAUGAAGGGAGUAAAUGCCAUGAAAAAAAAUGAGAAAUGAAAGAAUGACACACCUCUGCCUUUUCUCCUAAGCUUGCUCUGGAGGAAGUGGGCAACCGUGUCAUGAGGACACACAUGCAACCCUGUGGAGAUGACUGUGUACAGAGGAACUAAGGCCUCCCACCAACAGCCAGCACCAGCUUACCUUGGAAGCGGAUGCUCCAGCCUGAGUUGAGCUUUGAGAUGACUGCAGUCCUGGCUGACAUCUUGAGUGCAACCUCAUGAGAAACCCUGAGCUACAACCACCCAGCCAAGCCAUCCCCAGAUUCUUGACCUACAGAAACUGCAAGAUAAUAAAUAUUUAUUGUUGUUUUACAUCACUAAGUCUAGAGUAAUUUUUUUUACACAGAAUUAGAGGCUAAUACACUUUCUUAGUCUGUGAUCAUAAUUGCUAUUGUACUUACUAGUCUGUCAAAUGGGUAUCAGGUCUUCCAGAUCUCUUUAAAGGUGGUGGUUUGUUCUUUUUUUCUAGCUUCAUAUUAAUAGAUAAGAAUAUAGGGAUGCACAGCAAGGACUCUAGAGUCAGGCAGACAUUAAUUUAAGUACUGGUUUGGUCACCUAUGUGACUUUCAUGACGUUACUAAAUCAAACUCAAAUUUAUUAUGAGCAUUAAAGGAGCAAAUGCAUUUCAAGUGCUUAGGGUAGUUUAUGGCUUAUGGUAAGAGCUCAAUAAGUGUGAUAGUUAUUAUGGUUAGUAACUGUAUAAAGAGAUGCUUCUAAGGGCCUUGCCUUAUGGACAACAAAGUAGCUGAAGUAUGUGUUGUACCUUAAGUGGGGAAUUUGGUUUCCAUUAGAAUUAUUAAAUAAAUUUAUUGAGGUAUAAUUUGUAUACUGUAAAUGCACCCAUUUUAAGUGUACAAUUAAUGAUUUUUUAAAUUUACUGAGUUGUGCAGCUAUGACCAUCAUCCGGUUUUAGGAUAUUUUUUCAUCAUCCUAAAAAGAAAUCUUGUGCCCAGUUGCAAUCAGCCCCAGGCAACCACUAAUCUACUUUCUGUCUCUAUAUAUUUGCCUUUUCUGGACAUUUCACCUAAAUAGAACCAUACAUUUUGUGGCCUCUAAUGUCUGGCUUAUUUCUCACAGCAUGUUUCUGAGGUUCUUCUAUGUUGUAGCAAUUAUCAGUACU
Molecule: long non-coding RNA, 1952 nt
Organism: Balaenoptera acutorostrata (minke whale)
Lineage: Eukaryota; Metazoa; Chordata; Mammalia; Artiodactyla; Balaenopteridae
Exons: 9
Source: RefSeq, a predicted model, not a curated record